RNAcentral lists this long non-coding RNA (1104 nucleotides) under Gallus gallus (chicken). Its description in RNAcentral is "long non-coding RNA NONGGAT007926". The record is from RNAcentral. Lineage: Eukaryota; Metazoa; Chordata; Aves; Galliformes; Phasianidae.
UCUCCAUCCCAACACUGAAUGUGUCCUUCCCAGUGUUGAACUUCUCUAUCCCAAUGUUGAACAUCUCAACACUGAAUAUCUCCAUCCCAUUGCUGAACGUCUCCACCCCACUGCUGAACAUUUCCAUCCCAGUGUUGAAUAUCUCCACCCCAGUGCUGAACAUCGCCAUCCCAGUGCUGCGUAUCUCCAUCCCAACACUGAACAUCUCCACCCCCAGUGCUGAACUUUUCCAUCCCAAUGCUGAACAUCUUCAUCCCAAAUCUGAACAUCUCCAUCCCAGUGCCACACAUCUGCAUCCCAAAGUGGAAUAUCUCCAUCCCAAUGCUGAACAUCUCCAUCCCAGUUCUGAACAUCUCCAUCCCAGUGCUGAACAUCUCCAUCCCAGUUCUGAACAUCUCCAUCCCAAUACUGAACAUCUCCAUCCCAUGCUGAACAUCUCCAUCCCAGUGCUGAACAUCUCUAUGCCAACGCUGAAUAUUUCCAUCUCCAUUUUCUGAGAAACACCCUGCAAGAGUCUCAGGAAGGCUGAGGACCUCAUGGUGACACCCAACAAGAAUGGACACUUCCCCCAGAGAUGUUCCCUGUUAGAAACAUAUGCCCAGUGCAGAGCCCUGGGGUAAAGCCAAGGCUGUGAUGCUCCCUGUUUUCCUCCCCGCGCCUGGCAAAGCUGUGCCCUCCAUCGGCCAAACAAUCCUGCCCUGCCCCCGUGCCCUCUGGUUGCAGCAAGGCUGUAGCAAAUCCGAGCAGGGGGACAACACAGUUCAACACAGUGUAAAACAGCAGUCGGAGCACGGCGGUGCAGAGGCAGUGCCCAAAGCAAACACACUGCUGCGAAAAAAACCUUCCCAGCUUAGUGCGCCCUUCUAAAAACACAGAGUGACUUCAGAAAAAUGUGAGAAAACAUGAGCUGCUCACCCCCAGAGGGAAAACAGAGCACAGGAGCCAUAGGAUGGAGCCUGCUGCCUGCAGCCGUGUCCCCAUGGCAGAGGAUCCUGGGGCCAUCGCGGUGCCUGGGAAGGGCUGAGCUCCCUUAAAGAGCAGUCGGAUGAUGAAUGUGGAGUUGAAAACCUCUUAGAGAAGGGAUGUGCCACAGCAGCCCGCUUC